This is a non-coding RNA of Coturnix japonica (Japanese quail), 864 nucleotides long. Lineage: Eukaryota; Metazoa; Chordata; Aves; Galliformes; Phasianidae. The record is from RefSeq and is a predicted model, not a curated record.
UGGCUUUUCCAGCCAUUGCUACUGGGAAUGGAGCAGGAGGCCAGAACCUCACCUGGUGCAGAGCAGCAGAGGACACCCAUUUCUACCUGUUAAGGAGCCAGGCCAGUAUCAGCCAGGAUUAUUGUAUUUUUCCCUUGGGAACACUGUCCUGUGCCUCAUCCCCACGCGUGUUUCUUUGGCUGAGGGCAGUGGAGAGCUUCCAGUUCUCAUAAUUGUGCUGUAAUUGGGGCAUUCCUCAGCCUCGCCCCAGGGCCCAGCAGCACAUCCUGCACCUCCACCCAUCCACUGGUCCUGACAUUGGCCCCGGUUCUGCUCCUCCAUGCUCCAAACUUUGCUCCCUGACUAAAAUUCCUUCAGCUUUGGGGAAGGUGGGUGUGAUGUGUGAGAAACAGGGAGCAGAGAGGUACCUUGACAGUGAGAGGGAAGCCAAGCAGGAAUGCAUCUCAGAGGCCUCUUGAGCAGAAGCCAUCUCCUGUGAUGGCCCACGGCUACAGCUAAUGAUGAAAAGUUCUGAAGAAGGCUUUGUUUCCAUGAAACCUCCCUGCAUUUUCCAGCUAUUCCAGUCGGUCAGGAGGAUGAAGCCAAAGUGGGACUUAUUCCAGUUCUACACCAGCAUGCCGAGUGCAAGCAGAAGCACUUUCACUGCAAGGAGAGCUCAUCUUGGAUGGGACUGGGAGUGCUGGCAGUGCAGGGACAGCCCAAUAGGACUGAAUGGGGAUGUGGAAGUCCUGGGAGCGUGCCCAGGCACCGGCUCUGCCAGCCCACAGGCAUUCAUAGAUUACAAACCGUGCUCUCAAAUCGUCUCACGGCGUCUAAAAUAAACUCAGGUCUGAACACCACCUGGCGUUGAGACCCGUAAGUGCA